GAUGAACGCUAGCGGCAGGCUUAAUACAUGCAAGUCGUGGGGCAGCAGGUUUGUAGCAAUACAGAUGCUGGCGACCGGCAAACGGGUGCGGAACACGUACAGAACCUUCCUUUGAGCGGGGAAUAGCCCAGAGAAAUUUGGAUUAAUACCCCAUAGUAUAAUGAAGUGGCAUCACUUUAUUAUUGAAGAUUUAUCACUCGAAGAUGGCUGUGCGGCUGAUUAGGUAGUUGGCGGGGUAAAGGCCCACCAAGCCUGCGAUCAGUAACUGGUGUGAGAGCACGACCAGUCACACGGGCACUGAGACACGGGCCCGACUCCUACGGGAGGCAGCAGUAAGGAAUAUUGGUCAAUGGAGGCAACUCUGAACCAGCCAUGCCGCGUGGAGGAUGAAGGUCCUCUGGAUUGUAAAC
RNAcentral lists this ribosomal RNA (410 nucleotides) under uncultured bacterium. RNAcentral describes it as "bacterial SSU rRNA". It matches the Rfam family "Bacterial small subunit ribosomal RNA", at positions 28 to 430 of the family's 1533-position model. The record is from RNAcentral.